RNAcentral lists this ribosomal RNA (331 nucleotides) under uncultured bacterium. Its description in RNAcentral is "bacterial SSU rRNA". It matches the Rfam family "Bacterial small subunit ribosomal RNA", at positions 568 to 898 of the family's 1533-position model. The record is from RNAcentral.
CACGUAGGCGGAUUGCUAAGUCAGGGGUGAAAUCCUGGAGCUCAACUCCAGAACUGUCUUUGAUACUGGCGAUCUCGAGUCCGGGAGAGGUGAGUGGAACUGCGAGUGUAGAGGUGAAAUUCGUAGAUAUUCGCAAGAACACCAGUGGCGAAGGCGGCUCACUGGCCCGGUACUGACGCUGAGGUGCGAAAGCGUGGGGAGCCAAACGGGAUUAGAUACCCUGGUAGUCCACGCCGUAAACGAUGGAUGCUAGCCGUUGGUGGGUUUACCCUUCAGUGGCGCAGCUAACGCAUUAAGCAUCCCGCCUGGGGAGUACGGUCGCAAGAUUAAA